This 255-nucleotide ribosomal RNA is filed under the name uncultured Vannella. RNAcentral's name for it is "partial Bacterial small subunit ribosomal RNA". It matches the Rfam family "Bacterial small subunit ribosomal RNA", at positions 90 to 354 of the family's 1533-position model. The record is from RNAcentral. Lineage: Eukaryota; Discosea; Flabellinia; Vannellidae.
GACGAGUGGCGGACGGGUGAGUAAUGCUUGGGAACUUGCCUUUGCGAGGGGGAUAACAGUUGGAAACGACUGCUAAUACCGCAUAAUGUCUUCGGACCAAACGGGGCUUAGGCUCCGGCGCAAAGAGAGGCCCAAGUGAGAUUAGCUAGUUGGUAAGGUAACGGCUUACCAAGGCUACGAUGAUUAGGGGGCCUGAGAGGGUGAUCCCCCACACUGGUACUGAGAUACGGACCAGACUCCUACGGGAGGCAGCAG